RNAcentral lists this ribosomal RNA (253 nucleotides) under uncultured bacterium. Its description in RNAcentral is "partial 16S ribosomal RNA". It matches the Rfam family "Bacterial small subunit ribosomal RNA", at positions 524 to 776 of the family's 1533-position model. The record is from RNAcentral.
UACAGAGGGUGCGAGCGUUAAUCGGAAUUACUGGGCGUAAAGCGCGCGUAGGCGGCUUUGCAAGUCGGGUGUGAAAUCCCCAGGCUUAACCUGGGAACUGCAUUCGAGACUGCAUUGCUAGAGUAUGGGAGAGGGAAGUGGAAUUUCCGGUGUAGCGGUGAAAUGCGUAGAUAUCUGGAGGAACACCGGUGGCGAAGGCGGCAGCCUGGACCGAAAUUGACACUGAGGCGCGAAAGCCAGGGGAGCAAACAGG